This 252-nucleotide ribosomal RNA is filed under the name uncultured bacterium. RNAcentral describes it as "partial 16S ribosomal RNA". It matches the Rfam family "Bacterial small subunit ribosomal RNA", at positions 524 to 775 of the family's 1533-position model. The record is from RNAcentral.
UACGUAGGGGGCGAGCGUUGUCCGGAGUUACUGGGCGUAAAGGGCAUGCAGGCGGUCAGGCGCGUUUCGGGUGACAGCGGGUGGCUUAACUACCCGAGUGUUCGAAAGACGGCGUGACUUGAGGGCGAGAGAGGGACACGGAAUUCCGGGUGGAGUGGUGAAAUGCGUAGAGAUCCGGAGGAACACCGAAGGCGAAGGCAGUGUCCUGGCUCGCGACUGACGCUGAGGUGCGAAAGCUAGGGGAGCGAACGG